RNAcentral lists this unclassified non-coding RNA (599 nucleotides) under Hevea brasiliensis (rubber tree). Lineage: Eukaryota; Viridiplantae; Streptophyta; Magnoliopsida; Malpighiales; Euphorbiaceae. The record is from RNAcentral.
ACAUGAAGGUGCGUUAUGGCGAUGAUGUGGCAUAGUUGCUAGAAUAGGAUCCUGUGUACACAGGUGUAGAGGUGUGAGCUUAGAUGGGUAGAGACACAGGUCUGAUGACUCAACCCAGUAUAUUUUCUCCGUUGGAGCGUCAGCUGGGACUUUCGACAUCGUAAAAUGGCAUAUCGGCAAAUGGCAACCAAUGGGAAUGGAUUGGAAGCUGACUUGGAUUUUCAUCCGGCUCUUGUUGUGGGUCAAGAACUAACCCGGUAGCAUCUUGAGUUUCGAGUAGGUUCAGGUGAUCAGACAACCUUCGGAAGGGUCACCAGGACGUUGCCCGUGGUCUAGUGAUGGCGGUGUGCCUAUUUGAUGACCAGAUGGUGACUCUAGUGAAGGGGCAAUGGCAGCGCUGUUUCUGGGUUCUUUGUUUCUCGAAGUUCUAUUUCUGGGUUUGAAUUUUUUUUUUAUAUAUAAUAAACAGUAAACUAAGGCAGAAUUUCGAAGCAGGUUAAAAAAGAGAUGGUUUGAAUUGGCUGUUAUGUUUGUAGGCUGUUUGGAAAAUUUGCAGGAAGCUAUGGAAAUUAGAUUGAAUUUAGACUUUGAUACCAAAA